GCACUGGUCGUCCAGCGGCUAAGACUCCGCAUUCGUAAUGCGGGUACGAGGGUUCGAAUCCCUCCCGGUGCU
RNAcentral lists this transfer RNA (72 nucleotides) under Blastopirellula marina. RNAcentral's name for it is "tRNA-Thr". It matches the Rfam family "tRNA". Rfam says of the family: Transfer RNA (tRNA) molecules are approximately 80 nucleotides in length. Their secondary structure includes four short double-helical elements and three loops (D, anti-codon, and T loops). Further hydrogen bonds mediate the characteristic L-shaped molecular structure. tRNAs have two regions of fundamental functional importance: the anti-codon, which is responsible for specific mRNA codon recognition, and the 3' end, to which the tRNAs corresponding amino acid is attached (by aminoacyl-tRNA synthetases). tRNAs cope with the degeneracy of the genetic code in two manners: having more than one tRNA (with a specific anti-codon) for a particular amino acid; and 'wobble' base-pairing, i.e. permitting non-standard base-pairing at the 3rd anti-codon position. Lineage: Bacteria; Pseudomonadati; Planctomycetota; Planctomycetia; Pirellulales; Pirellulaceae. The record is from RNAcentral.